CCUACGGGAGGCUGCAGUGGGGAAUAUUGCACAAUGGGCGCAAGCCUGAUGCAGCCAUGCCGCGUGUGUGAAGAAGGCCUUCGGGUUGUAAAGCGCUUUCAGCGGGGAGGAAGGCGGUGAGGUUAAUAACCUCAUCGAUUGACGUUACCCGCAGAAGAAGCACCGGCUAACUCCGUGCCAGCAGCCGCGGUAAUACGGAGGGUGCAAGCGUUAAUCGGAAUUACUGGGCGUAAAGCGCACGCAGGCGGUCUGUCAAGUCGGAUGUGAAAUCCCCGGGCUCAACCUGGGAACUGCAUUCGAAACUGGCAGGCUAGAGUCUUGUAGAGGGGGGUAGAAUUCCAGGUGUAGCGGUGAAAUGCGUAGAGAUCUGGAGGAAUACCGGUGGCGAAGGCGGCCCCCUGGACAAAGACUGACGCUCAGGUGCGAAAGCGUGGGGAGCAAACAGGAUUAGAUACCCUUGGAGUC
Molecule: ribosomal RNA, 465 nt
Filed under: uncultured Klebsiella sp.
Lineage: Bacteria; Pseudomonadati; Pseudomonadota; Gammaproteobacteria; Enterobacterales; Enterobacteriaceae
Description: bacterial SSU rRNA
Rfam family: Bacterial small subunit ribosomal RNA
Source: RNAcentral